This 819-nucleotide ribosomal RNA is filed under the name uncultured Chloroflexota bacterium. RNAcentral's name for it is "SSU rRNA". It matches the Rfam family "Bacterial small subunit ribosomal RNA", at positions 69 to 897 of the family's 1533-position model. The record is from RNAcentral. Lineage: Bacteria; Bacillati; Chloroflexota.
GCUCCNCAUCUUCGGAUGAGGGGAUUUCCUAGUGGCGGACGGGUGCGUAACACGUGGGUGACCUGCCCCGAAGUGGGGAAUAACUCCGCGAAAGCGGAGCUAAUACCGCAUGAUGUCGCGCGAGUUAGAGGUCGCGCGUCUAAAGAUUUCGGUCGCUUCGGGAGGGGCUCGCGGCCCAUCAGCUAGUUGGUGGGGUAAUGGCUCACCAAGGCUAUGACGGGUAGGGGACCUGAGAGGGUGAUCCCCCACACUGGAACUGAGACACGGUCCAGACACCUACGGGUGGCAGCAGUAGGGAAUAUUGCACAAUGGGCGCAAGCCUGAUGCAGCAACGCCGCGUGCGCGAUGAAGGCCUUCGGGUUGUAAAGCGCUUUUCGGAGGGAUGAAUCAAGACAGUACCUUCAGAAUAAGGAUCGGCUAACUACGUGCCAGCAGCCGCGGUAAAACGUAGGAUCCAAGCGUUAUCCGGAAUUACUGGGCGUAAAGGGUGUGUAGGCGGCUUGGCAAGUCGGGCAUGAAAGCUCCUGGCUCAACUAGGAGAGGUUGUCCGAUACUGCCAGGCUAGAGGGCAAGAGAGGGAGGUGGAAUUCCCGGUGUAGUGGUGAAAUGCGUAGAUAUCGGGAGGAACACCAGUGGCGAAGGCGGCCUCCUGGCUUGUGCCUGACGCUGAGACACGAAAGCGUGGGGAGCGAACGGGAUUAGAAACCCCGGUAGUCCACGCCGUAAACGAUGUCAACUAGGUGUCGGCGGUCUAGAACCCGUCGGUAUCGAAGCUAACGCGUUAAGUUGACCGCCUGGGGACUACNAUCGCAAGAUUAA